CCUACGGGAGGCAGCAGUGGGGGAUAUUGCACAAUGGGGGGAACCCUGAUGCAGCGACGCCGCGUGGGUGAAGGAGCGUUUCGGCGCGUAAAGCUCUAUCGGCAGGGAAGAAGGAGGACGGUACCUGACUAAGAAGCCCCGGAUAACUACGUGCAAGCAGCCGCGGUAAAACGUAGGGGGCAGGCGUUAUCCGGAUUUACGGGGUGUAAAGGGGGCGCGGACGGGAGCGCAAGCCAGGAGUGAAAGCCCGGGGCCCAACCCCGGGACUGCUCUUGGAACUGCGGGGCUGGAGUGCAGGAGGGGCAAGCGGAAUUCCUGGUGUAGCGGUGAAAUGCGUAGAUAUCAGGAGGAACACCAGUGGCGAAGGCGGCCUGCUGGACUGUGACUGACGUUGAGGCCCGAAAGCGUGGGGAGCAAACAGGAUUAGAUACCCGAGUAGUC
Molecule: ribosomal RNA, 441 nt
Filed under: uncultured bacterium
Lineage: Bacteria
Description: partial 16S ribosomal RNA
Rfam family: Bacterial small subunit ribosomal RNA
Source: RNAcentral